Molecule: ribosomal RNA, 433 nt
Filed under: uncultured bacterium
Lineage: Bacteria
Description: partial 16S ribosomal RNA
Rfam family: Bacterial small subunit ribosomal RNA
Source: RNAcentral
AACGAACGCUGGCGGCAUGCCUAACACAUGCAAGUCGAACGAGACCUUCGGGUCUAGUGGCGCACGGGUGCGUAACGCGUGGGAACCUGCCUUUAGGUUCGGAAUAACUCAGAGAAAUUUGAGCUAAUACCGGAUGAUGUCUUCGGACCAAAGAUUUAUCGCCUUUAGAUGGGCCCGCGUUGGAUUAGCUAGUUGGUGGGGUAAAGGCCUACCAAGGCGACGAUCCAUAGCUGGUCUGAGAGGAUGAUCAGCCACACUGGGACUGAGACACGGCCCAGACUCCUACGGGAGGCAGCAGUGGGGAAUAUUGGACAAUGGGCGAAAGCCUGAUCCAGCAAUGCCGCGUGAGUGAUGAAGGCCUUAGGGUUGUAAAGCUCUUUUACCCGAGAUGAUAAUGACAGUAGCUGGAGAAUAAGCUCCGGCUAACUCCGUG